GAUGAACGCUGGCGGCGUGCCUAAUACAUGCAAGUCGAGCGAACAGAUGAGGAGCUUGCUCCUCUGACGUUAGCGGCGGACGGGUGAGUAACACGUGGAUAACCUACCUAUAAGACUGGGAUAACUUCGGGAAACCGGAGCUAAUACCGGAUAAUAUAUUGAACCGCAUGGUUCAAUAGUGAAAGACGGUUUUGCUGUCACUUAUAGAUGGAUCCGCGCCGCAUUAGCUAGUUGGUAAGGUAACGGCUUACCAAGGCAACGAUGCGUAGCCGACCUGAGAGGGUGAUCGGCCACACUGGAACUGAGACACGGUCCAGACUCCUACGGGAGGCAACAGUAGGGAAUCUUCCGCAAUGGGCGAAAGCCUGACGGAGCAACGCCGCGUGAGUGAUGAAGGUCUUCGGAUCGUAAAACUCUGUUAUUAGGGAAGAACAGAUGUGUAAGUAACUAUGCACGUCUUGACGGUACCUAAUCAGAAAGCCACGGCUAACUACGUG
This 497-nucleotide ribosomal RNA is filed under the name uncultured bacterium. Its description in RNAcentral is "partial 16S ribosomal RNA". It matches the Rfam family "Bacterial small subunit ribosomal RNA", at positions 28 to 507 of the family's 1533-position model. The record is from RNAcentral.